Molecule: ribosomal RNA, 506 nt
Filed under: uncultured bacterium
Lineage: Bacteria
Description: partial 16S ribosomal RNA
Rfam family: Bacterial small subunit ribosomal RNA
Source: RNAcentral
AGUGAACGCUGGCGGUAGGCCUAACACAUGCAAGUCGAACGGCAGCACAGGAGAGCUUGCUCUCUGGGUGGCGAGUGGCGGACGGGUGAGGAAUACAUCGGAAUCUACUCUGUCGUGGGGGAUAGCGUAGGGAAACUUACGCUAAUACCGCAUACGACCUACGGGUGAAAGCAGGGGACCUUCGGGCCUUGCGCGAUUGAAUGAGCCGAUGUCGGAUUAGCGAGUUGGCGGGGUAAAGGCCCACCAAGGAGACGAUCCGUAGCUGGUCUGAGAGGAUGAUCAGCCACACUGGAACUGUGACACGGUCCAGACUCCUACGGGAGGCAGCAGUGGGGAAUAUUGGACAAUGGGCGCAAGCCUGAUCCAGCCAUACCGCGUGGGUGAAGAAGGCCUUCGGGUUGUAAAGCCCUUUUGUUGGGAAAGAAAUCCAGCUGGCUAAUACCCGGUUGGGAUGACGGUACCCAAAGAAUAAGCACCGGCUAACUUCGUGCCAGCCGCCGCCGUAA